Long non-coding RNA from Onthophagus taurus, 341 nucleotides. RefSeq lists it as uncharacterized. Lineage: Eukaryota; Metazoa; Arthropoda; Insecta; Coleoptera; Scarabaeidae. The record is from RefSeq and is a predicted model, not a curated record.
CAGUUCAUAUUUUGAGAUUAUUAUUUGUCUUUAUAAAGACAGCUGCAAUGUAUUUAUUAUGGCUACUCCUAUAAAGAAACGUUCCAAAUUAAGUGUAUUGGAUAAGGAAAGAAUUAUGAGGAUUUUUAAAGCUCAUAAAAAAGAACAUCCAUUUGCCUCAACUGUGAAUAGUGUGCAAUUCACUAUGAACGUAGCAGAAGUCAGUGAACGAACUGUAUACAAGAUUUUAAAGGAAUUUAAGGACAAUGAAGUAUUUUCUCCACCGAAAAAGUACCAUCGAAGGAGAAGUAUUUUAGAUUUCAUUAUUUAUUUCUUUUUAAUAUAUGAAUUUUACACUAAAA